Non-coding RNA from Salvelinus sp. IW2-2015, 2428 nucleotides. The record is from RefSeq and is a predicted model, not a curated record. NCBI's taxonomy places the organism in Eukaryota, Metazoa, Chordata, Actinopteri, Salmoniformes, Salmonidae.
UGUGCUGUGCUACACCUUCUAAUCCGGAGAAUGAAUUUUUCAACCUGGUAAUGAAAUUGUAUCCAAAGAGGACAGCUAUGAAUUCAUAAUCUCAAUGGAAGUGUUCCCGUCAUUUCAACAUCCAUACAAAAAUAACGUAUCGAGUGCGCGCAGUUGCACAGGAACGUCUGGGCUUUGACAGAGCUUUCAACCGAAGUACAGUAGCAAGUUAUUUUUGCCCUGACUCUGAACCGCGAGAUAGUUUGGCCAACUGCAAGCCUACCCAUCUCGCCCAUUCCCGGCCAGGGCUAACCACAGCACAGUGACAGGACUGUCUGUGGCGACUGCUGCCCAGAUGCCCGGUGGAGGAUGCCUUCACAACAGCUAGACAUGGAGGUGAUGACCCCUCUCAUUGAGAACCCUUGUGGAGGAGGGCAGGAGGAGGAGAACAACUCUGAAGAGAACCAAGAUCCAGAGCUGCUGCCUACAAGACGCUAUGAGCUCGGCAACAGCCAGGGCAUCACUUAACCUCUCUUGGGUUUACUCAGGCUCUCAUCCACCUGCUGAAGGGAAACGUUGGGAUUGGGUUGCUGGGUCUUCCCCUGGCAGUACGCAACGCAGGGGUCAUAGUGAGUAACUAAUGCCCCAUUAGUGAUAAUACAUUUUAGUCAUUUAGCAGACUCUCCAGAGUGACUUACAGGAGCAAUUAGUGUUAAGUGCCUUACUUCAAGGGCACAUCGACAGAUUUUUCAUCUAGUCGACUCGGGUAUUCGAACAAGCGACCUUUUGGUUACUGGUCCAACACUCUUAACCACCUGCAGCCUUACACCGUUCACACCAUAACACAAACAGGGCUGGGUCACACUUUACAUUACAUUAGUGUCCUUGUGUACUGCUUUAUGUACAUUGGUUUGGUUUAUUCAGUAGGAAAAAUACACACACUCUUGUUAGAGUCGAGGCAGAGUAAUGUUAUUGAGAGAACUUGUGCGUUGAUGUGUCAUCCCUACAGCAUUACAUUAUACAUCAUUGAUAUUGGUUGGUAAAAAUAAUUGGAAUUUCGCUAAUGAAAAAGUAAUGGGCUGGGCAUGAUUAUGGAUGACGCAUAAAUAUGUAUUCAUUAUCUGUGAUCUGAAUGUUUAUUGGAAGUGAUUACAUAAAACACCAAUGUACAAGAUCAUUCUUAUCAUUCCAUUGUUUGAUUUAACCAGCAGUUCAGUUUCUAGGUUUACUGGACCAGUGUGUACGAUGGGAGCAGAAAUUAGCACGUCUUGUACAGAUGAAUACACGCGUAGGAAUUAAGCUCCAAGUCUUCAGGUGUGUUAAUUCAGUGUUGUGGAAAAGUUAGGUGUCAGUGGACCUGCUAGAUUCCUCUGUCUACAGACAAUGAUUCCCUGCUGUGGAUCCUGGCUCAUGUUAAGUUGAUUUGGGGUUUUAUAUUUGGACCUCUGCGUCGUACAAGAGUCCAAAGGUCAUAAUAAGUCACUGGGCACAUAACCCUUAUCUCUGAGUUUUACAGAUGGAUGUGAGUGCGUAAUUAUAUGAUCAUGUACAUUGGUUUAAGGUACUGUGUGUGUGUGUGUCAUGGAAUUGGUGUGUUAUCAGAUUAUAUUUGAAUACGUAGAUUGCUGCAGCUUCUUCUCGGAACCAAGGCCUGGUUAAGCAGUUAGUGAGGUGUUCAUCGAACUAGUCCCCACCACAAGUGCUUCAGCACCAUGGUACAAACCUGCCUGUGUGCCUGCCUGCUUUGCAGCUGUGGCACUGGCUAGUGGUUGAGCUCAGAUCAGUUUAUAGCCUCACAUAUUUCCUGAUUUCUCCAUUUGCCAAAUGGACAAAAGGAGGAUAGGAUCAGGCUAGACAAGUGUCAUUAUUUGAAAGGACAAUCAGGUCAAUUUGUACACUUCAGACUAAUGUCGUCUCCCAGCCGGCUCUGUUGUAAUGGAGACUGAGAACGAGGUUAGCUUCAGACCAACAGCAGGCACACAUGAUCACUGUUACCCUACCAGUGAAACAGAUGUAGCCUGCAUGUCACAUGUAUCACGUUGCCAAGGUUACGUUGCGUUUGCUGGACUUUCCCCAGAGAAUCUGCAGGCUCCAUAGACUAGAUGGUGUUCCAGUGCUAGUAUUGUAUUGGUUGAGGAGAGAACCCAAAAUGUUGUGGUGUCCUCUUGCAUAAUCUCCCCUCCUUUGUGCUGUCUCAUGAUGAUGGUGUGAUCAUGUCACAUGAUGGAGAGAUUUUCUUUCUGGAUGACAGAACAGAACAAAAUAAUGAUCACAACACCGUUACGUGAUAUGAGGUUUUCGCGGACAUACAUAGAAUAGCAAAGAGCUAUCCCACUACUGAUCGUGUGUAAGUGAGCCUAUUUCUCUGGGUUAUAUCUGAUGCGUUUGCAUUAAUAUGGACUGAUGAGUGUUCCUAUCUGGUUCACAGUUGGUUUCAGUUGGUGUUGAC